AGGUACCGUCAAGCAAUAAGCCUGUUUGACUUACUACAGUUCUUCCCUCCUAACAGGAGUUUACGACUCGAAAGCCUUCGUCCUCCACGCGGCGUUNNUGGGUCAGGCUUUCGCCCAUUGCCCAAUAUUCCUC
This 133-nucleotide ribosomal RNA is filed under the name uncultured bacterium. RNAcentral describes it as "partial 16S ribosomal RNA". The record is from RNAcentral.